CUACGGGUGGCUGCAGUGGGGAAUAUUGGACAAUGGGGGAAACCCUGAUCCAGCAAUGCCGCGUGUGUGAAGAAGGCCUGCGGGUUGUAAAGCACUUUCGGUUGGGAGGACUGCUUCUAGCACUAAUAUUGUUGGAAGUUGACGUUACCUUCAGAAGAAGCACCGGCUAACUCCGUGCCAGCAGCCGCGGUAAUACGGAGGGUGCAGGCGUUAAUCGGAAUUACUGGGCGUAAAGCGCGCGUAGGCGGUUAGAUCAGUCGGGUGUGAAAGCCCCGGGCUUAACCUGGGAACUGCAUCCGAUACUGUCUAGCUUGAGUACAGGAGAGGAGAGUGGAAUUCCACAUGUAGCGGUGAAAUGCGUAGAUAUGUGGAGGAACACCAAUGGCGAAGGCAGCUCUCUGGCCUGAUACUGACGCUGAGGUGCGAAAGCGUGGGGAGCAAACAGGAUUAGAUACCCUUGUAGUC
RNAcentral lists this ribosomal RNA (465 nucleotides) under uncultured bacterium. RNAcentral's name for it is "partial 16S ribosomal RNA". It matches the Rfam family "Bacterial small subunit ribosomal RNA", at positions 339 to 795 of the family's 1533-position model. The record is from RNAcentral.